This 253-nucleotide ribosomal RNA is filed under the name uncultured bacterium. RNAcentral's name for it is "partial 16S ribosomal RNA". It matches the Rfam family "Bacterial small subunit ribosomal RNA", at positions 524 to 776 of the family's 1533-position model. The record is from RNAcentral.
UACGUAGGGGGCAAGCGUUGUCCGGAAUUACUGGGCGUAAAGGGCUCGUAGGCGGCCAACUAAGUCAGACGUGAAAUCCCUCGGCUUAACCGGGGAACUGCGUCUGAUACUGGAUGGCUAGAGGUUGGGAGAGGGAUGCGGAAUUCCAGGUGUAGCGGUGAAAUGCGUAGAUAUCUGGAGGAACACCGGUGGCGAAGGCGGCAUCCUGGACCAAUUCUGACGCUGAGGAGCGAAAGCCAGGGGAGCAAACGGG